GAUGAAGAACGUAGCGAAAUGCGAUACGUAAUGUGAAUUGCAGAAUUCAGUGAAUCAUCGAGUCUUUGAACGCACAUUGCGCCCCCUGGUAUUCCGGGGGGCAUGCCUGUUCGAGCGUCAUUACAACCCUCAGGCCCCCGGGCCUGGCGUUGGGGAUCGGCGAGGCGCCCCCCGCGGGCACGCGCCGUCCCCCAAAUACAGUGGCGGUCCCGCCGCAGCUUCCAUUGCGUAGUAGCUAACACCUCGCAACUGGAGAGCGGCGCGGCCAUGCCGUAAAACACCCAACUUCUGAAUGUUGACCUCGAAUCAGGUAGGAAUACCCGCUGAACUUAAGCAUAUCAAUAAGCGGAGGA
RNAcentral lists this unclassified non-coding RNA (353 nucleotides) under soil metagenome. RNAcentral's name for it is "partial contains 5.8S ribosomal RNA, internal transcribed spacer 2, and large subunit ribosomal RNA". The stretch from base 1 to 120 matches the Rfam family "5.8S ribosomal RNA", at positions 35 to 154 of the family's 154-position model. The record is from RNAcentral.